This is a transfer RNA of Camelus ferus (Wild Bactrian camel), 72 nucleotides long. It matches the Rfam family "tRNA". From Rfam's summary of the family: Transfer RNA (tRNA) molecules are approximately 80 nucleotides in length. Their secondary structure includes four short double-helical elements and three loops (D, anti-codon, and T loops). Further hydrogen bonds mediate the characteristic L-shaped molecular structure. tRNAs have two regions of fundamental functional importance: the anti-codon, which is responsible for specific mRNA codon recognition, and the 3' end, to which the tRNAs corresponding amino acid is attached (by aminoacyl-tRNA synthetases). tRNAs cope with the degeneracy of the genetic code in two manners: having more than one tRNA (with a specific anti-codon) for a particular amino acid; and 'wobble' base-pairing, i.e. permitting non-standard base-pairing at the 3rd anti-codon position. NCBI's taxonomy places the organism in Eukaryota, Metazoa, Chordata, Mammalia, Artiodactyla, Camelidae. The record is from Rfam.
GAGGGCAUAGCUCAGUGGUAGAGCGCAUACCCAGUAUGCAUGAGGUCCUGGGUUCAAUCCCCAGUAGCUCCA